This 241-nucleotide unclassified non-coding RNA is filed under the name uncultured fungus. RNAcentral's name for it is "sequence contains ITS2". Lineage: Eukaryota; Fungi. The record is from RNAcentral.
AACGCAUAUUGCGCCCCUUGGUAUUCCUUGGGGCACACCUGUUCGAGCGUCAUUUCACCAAUCAAGCCUCGCUUGGUUUUGGGCGAUGCGCAUGUCGCACGCCUCAAAUGCCCCGGCCGAGCAGUCUCUCACCCGGCGUCGUGGAAACAUACCGCUACGGAGACGAGACCUGCCCGUGCCGCAGAAUAACCUAUUAACAAAGGUUGACCUCGGAUCAGGUGGGGAUACCCGCUGAACUUAA